Molecule: long non-coding RNA, 42902 nt
Filed under: Eutrema salsugineum
Lineage: Eukaryota; Viridiplantae; Streptophyta; Magnoliopsida; Brassicales; Brassicaceae
Description: long non-coding RNA (ESAL_LNC002192)
Source: RNAcentral
UAAAAUACAACUGCAUAGAUAUAAGUCAUGACUCUUCACACACAACAUUUCACUUUAUUAAUCUGAAUAUACAUAUUAAUUAUGUAAUUAAAUAUAUCUAAUCUCUAAGACCAAACUUAAUUAUAAACUAACAAGUUAGAGGAUUAAAACUCGGUUUUUUUUUAACAAGCCAUUUAGCAACGAAUUGCAAUGAACUUCAAGAAAUCCAUUACAAAACCAAGAAAUCCGUUGGAAACACAAGAAAUACAUUGCAAAAACAUUGACAUUUUGUUGCAAGCUGCAAAAGUACAAAUUUAUUUAAGUAUAAUACCAAAAAUGGCUAAGUAUAUGUUAACAACGAUUCCGUAAUAUGUUAGUCUUGUUUUUUGCCAUCUUUAAUUUUUGCUUGGCUAAUAUUUGAUUAGAAAAUCUAGUAUGUCAAAAAUAUGGCUAUUUGAUUAGAAAGUAGUUAUUCCUGUUUUCCGCCAUCUUUAAUGUUUUCUUUGCUAAUAUUUGAUUAGAAAUCUAUGAUAUGUAAAAAAUAUUGCUUAUGAUUUUAAGAGAGAAUACGUGUGUAUUCAUCUUUACUCAUCAUUGAGAUGAAUGUUACACUUCUACAUAUUUUUAACAUGAAUGGUGAUUGUGUAUUGUUGUAUAUACAAGUUUAUACCAUGCAUAACUUGGGUAGUACUUAUCUGAGUACGAGGAUUGAGCUUUUUUUUUUUUUUUUUUUUGUAAUGUGCGAUUAGCAACAGAAUUGCAAUGAAUCUCAGGAAAUCUGUUGCAAAACCAAGAAACUCGUUGCAAAAUCAAGAAAUCCUUUGCAAAACUGUUGUCAUUCUGUUGCAAGCCGCAAAAUAUCAAAUUUCAUAAGUAUAAUACCACAAAUGGCUAAGUAUAUGUUAACAACGUUUUUUAUGAAGUUAUUCUUGUUUUCCGUCAUCUUUAAUGUUUUCUUUGCUAAUAUUUGAUUAGAAAAUCUAUAGUAUGUCAAAAAUAUAUCUUAUAAUUAUUUGAGAGUAAGUGUGUAUUGAUCUUAACUCAUCCUUAAGAUGAAUGUCACAGUUCUACAUCUUUUAACAUCAAUGGUGAUUUUUUGGUGUUUUCUUUCACUAAAGAUAUGAAAUUUAUAUUGUGUUAUAUACCAUGCAUAGACUGGAUAGUACUUAUUUGAGUAAGAGGAUUGAGCCUUCGUUUUUUCAGAAUGAGCGAUUAGCAACAGAAUUCCUAUAAACCUCAAGAAAUUUGUUGCAAAACCAAGAAAUCUAUUGCAAAACCGUUGUCUUUCUGUUGCAGGCUGCAAAACAUCAAAUUUUUAAAGUAUAAUACCACAAAAGUCUAAGCAUAUGUUAACAACGACUUCUUAAUAUGUUCUUCAUGUUUUCUGUCAUAUUUAAUUGUUUUUUUUUUUGCUAAUAUUUGAUUAGACAAUCUAUGGUAUAUCAAAAAUAUGGCUUAUGAUCAUAUAAGAGAGUUAGUAUGUAUUUAUCUGAACUUAUCCUUAUGAAGAAUGUUACACUUUUACACAUUUUUCACAUGAAUGAUGAUUGUUGUGGUGUUUUCUUUCAUUGAAGGUAUUAAAUUUAUACUUUGCAAUAUACCAUGCACAACUUGGGUAGUACAUUAAGUUAGAGGAUUAAAACUUGUUUUUUUUUUUUAACGAGCCAUUUAGCAAUGAAUUGCAAUGUUGCAAUGAACUUAAAGAAAUCCGUUGAAAAGCAAGAAAUCCAUUGGAAAACAAAGAAAUCCAUUGCAAAAUCGUUUUCAUUUUGUUGCAAGCUGCAAAACUAGAAAUUUCUUAGGUAUGAAACCACAAAUGGAUAAGUAUUUGUUAAAAAAGGUUCUUUAAGAAGUUAUUCUUGUUUUCCGUCAUCUUUAAUGUUCUCUUUGCUAGUAUCUGAUUACAAAAUCUUUAGUAUGUAAAAAAUAUGGCUUAUGAUUAUAUGAGAGAGUAAGUGUGUAUUUAUCUUAACUCAUUUUUACAAUGAAUUUUACACUUCUACAUAUUUUAACAUGAAUGGUGAUUUUUUUAGUGUUUUCAUUCACUAAAGGUAUGAAAUUUACAUUGUGCAAUAUACCAUGCAUAACUUGGAUAAUACUCAUUUGAGUACAAGGAUUGAGCCUUUGUUUUUUUUAAUGGGCUAUUAGCAACAGAAUUGCAACGAACCUAAGGACAUCUGUUGCAACACCAAGAAAUCUGUUGCAAAAUUGUUGUCGUUUUGUUGCAAGCCCAAAACUAGAAAUUUCUUGAGUAUGAUACCACAAAUGGAUAAGCAUAUGUUAACAAUGGUUCUUUAAAGUGAUAUUCUUGUUUUCGUCAUCUUUAAUGUUUCUUUGCUAGUAUUUGACAAGAAAAUCUUUAGUAUGUCAAAAAUAUGGCUUAUGAUUAUAUGAGAGAGUAAGUGUGUAUUUAUCUUCACUCAUUUUUAAGAUGAAUGUUACACUUCUACAUAUUUUAACAUGAAUGUCGAUUUUGUAGUGUUUUCUUUCACUAAAAGUAUGAAAUUUACAUUGUGCAAUAUACCAUGCAUAACUUGGAUAAUACUCAUUUGAGUACGAGUUUUGAGCCUUCGUUUUUUUUUUUUUUUGAAUUUUCUAUUAGCAACAGAAUUGCAACUAACCUCAAGACAUCUGUUGUAAAAGCACAUUCUAACAACGGUUCCUUAAUAUGUUAUUCUUGUUUUCUGUAAUAUUUAAUGUUUUUUUUUGCUAAUAUUUGAUUAGACAAUCUAUGGUAUAUCAAAAUUAUGGCUUAUGAUCAUAUAAGAGAGUUAGUAUGUAUUUAUCUGAACCUAUCGUUAUGAGGAAUGUUACACUUUUACACUUUUUUCACAUGAAUGAUGAUUGUUGUGGUGUUUUCUUUCAUUGAAGGUACUAAAUUUAUACUGUGCAAUAUACCAUGCACAACUUUGGUAGUACAUUAAGUAAGAGGAUUGAAACUUGGUUUUUUUUUUAACGAGACAUUUAGCAACGAGUUGCAAUGAACUUCAAGAAAUCCGUUGGAAAGCAAGAAACUCGUUGGAAAACGAAGAAAUCCAUUGCAAACUCGUUGUCAUUUUGUUGCAAGCUGCAAAACUAGAAAUUUCUUAAGUUUGAUACCACAAAUGGAUAAGUAUAUGUUAACAAUGGUUCUUUAAAAAGUUAUUCUUGUGUUCCAUCAUCGUUAAUGUUUUCUUUGCUAAUAUUUAUUAGAAAAUCACUGGUAUGUCAAAAAUAUGGCUUAUGAUUAUAUGAAAGAAAAAGUGUGUAUUCAUCUUAACUCAUCUGUAAGAUGAAUGUUACAUUUCUACAUAUUUUUAACAUGAAUGGUGAUUUUGUGGUGUUCUCUUUCACUAAAUGUAUGAAAUUUAUAUUGUGCAAUAUACCAUGUGAUAACACCGAAUUUUGACCAUUUUUAUAGGUCACUUUAAUGUUUUUUACAGGUGUUUUUACUCCAUUUUUAAAGGUUUUCAAAGGAUUUCUAUGUUUUCGGAUUUUGAAAGAUUUUUCAGGUAAUUUGGGAUAAAGAGGCACAAAUUGGAACAAAAAGACUCUUUUGGAUAAAUGCAGAUCGUCAGAACUCUCAUGGAGAGACGAAGACUUUCUCACCGUCUGAUCACCCUCCAAAUUGGACAACUUAUAGAAGAAUCAACCAUCUUUCAAAUGCACUUGGUUUGGAGACAUCCAACGGUUGGAUCUCAAGAUAUUCCAUUUGCCCCGGAGACACUCGAAGAUGGCCAGCAAGUCACGCGACCGCGGCCACCAGUCUAUUUUCCGCGGUCACAAGCUUCCCGACUGCGACCAACUACCUAUUUCCCGCGGUCAUGUUACUCCCGACCGCGUCCGGCCAACUCCGAUUAAAAGCCUAUAUUUCUGAAGCCCAAAGUCAUUUCACUGCCUCAAUUCCGGAACCCUAGAGACCAUGGAGUAUUAAAGACUAUAAUACUUGUCAUUUAUGUCGUUUUUAGAGAGAACCUUCAUACUUUUACAGAAACCCUUUUUCCUUUAGCCGUUUUAUGUGAUUUUUAGAGAAGAUUGUUCAAGUCUGAGUUCUUCAAUAGAGAAGCUUUCUUUUAUCUCUUUUCUUUACUGUUUUUGAUUACUUUUAUUAAAACCAAUAAUGAUGUCGACCUCAGCCAUGUCUGAGUAGAUUCCGAGUUGGGCUUAGGGUUCCCGAAAGGGACUCUCAUAAUCGAUUAAGACAUCUAGGUUUAUAGAUCUGGGAUUUUAACUUUGUUCUCUGUUUAUUCUCGUUCUAAUUGCAUGUAUGCUUGAUUGAUCACCUAGUAUCUGAUCUAGAUAGUUAGUGUGGGGGGAGUUGAUAACACCAGAUUUUGACAAUUUUUAUGGAUCACUUCAAUGUCUUUUACAGGUGUUUUUACUCCAUUUUCAAAGGUUUUCAAAGGAUUUCUAUGUUUUUGUUGUUUAAAAGACUUUUCAGGUAAUUUGGGAUAAAGAGGCAUAAAUUGGAACAAAAAGACUCUUUUGGAUAAAUGCAUACCGUCAGAACUCUCAGACCUAGAAUGAAACAGGCGAUUUUUCCAUAGGAGUGGAAACCUACCUGCGGCGAGAUUGUGAGUAUUGACGAGUCUUGUGCAGCUCUUGCGUUCUCUCCCUUCCAGGGCCAGAGUGGAAACCUACUGGUCAGGGUUGCGAGAAACAGUUGGUUAUAAUCACGACAGUGAUGUAGUCAUACCGCCGUACUCUAGCUCUAGAACCCUAUAUUUUGAUAUCCGUCAAUCCCAAUCUAUAAUCCCUAGUGUUAAAACCGAUUAUGAUCCCUGUAGAGUUCCCAAAAGCUCAGCGUUUUUAGCCAUAGUUUACAAACAAAUCGAUUUUUUACUUGUUUAUUUAGAUCUGCAUUUCAUUUGCUUUAGUUCGAUAUUUUGCUUGUUUCAUUUGCUUUCAUUCGAUUUUUCUACUUGCUCUCUAUGAUAAAUUUAUUUGCUUUCUUUCGUUUUAGUUUAGUCUGUGACAAACAACCAACCCCUAAAAAUCAAUUUAGUCUAGACAUAAAGUUAGAAACCGUAGAAGAAUACCAGGCACACAAAUCUCUGUGGAUUCGAUCCCUAAAUACUACAACUGAUUAGCUGUGAACUUGCAGCUUUCAUUUGUUUUUUUUAAGGGUAAAACUUGUUCCCUCACGCAGUUGACACGCAUCAAGUUUUUGGCGCCGUUGCCGGGGAUUUGUUUCGCUGACUUUGUUAUUUUUCUUGUUCUAAUUUCUGUUCUAGACACCUGAUCUCUAGUUCUUUCUUAAUGUUUGCUGAAUAAUCUUUCCCUUCUUUUGUUUUUCUCUAAAUUGCAUGAAUACCAGGCGCAGACCUGUAGAAAACAUUCCAAUUCUAGACGAGAUAGACAGACACGAAAGAGAACUUCGAAGACUUAGACGAACGCAAGGAAUGGCCAACAACGACCAGCCUGCAGAUUCUAUUAACCAAGCUUUAAACAUGGACCAAGAUGGGUCCGAACAUGGAGAAAAUGAAGAGAACGAUCACAGAGAAGGUGAUCAUGCUCGCCAAGAUGGAGAAGAGGAUGAAGUUCCUCCAAGAAACCAUCAAAACCGCGAGAGAGAAGAACGUGAAGACCUUGAUGCACCUAUCAAUGCAGCCGAUGGUGACCACCAGGGGAUGCAGCCGAAUGGACGUGUUAACUGCCCUGUUCAGCAAGCAAAUCAACACCGAAGACAAGCCAGGAACCAUCGCAUAGCUGAUUACGAUGCACCUACUCAGAAUUUUCAGAACCGGUCCGCAAUUCAAGUACAAUUUCCGAACCGGAAUGACUUUGAAGUCAAGCCUCAAAUCAUCUCUUUGGUGAAACAAAACCAAUUACAUGGAGUUCCUUCUGAAUGAUGAGAACCAUAUCGAGCUCUUUGAAGAAAUCUGCAGCAUGAUGAGAACAAACCAAGUUCCAGCAGACUAUUUAAAGUGUAAGUUGUUCCCUUUUUCAUUAGCAGACAAAGCUCACCGUUGGUUGAAAUCUUUGCCUGCAGGAUCAAUUACUAAUUGGGAAGUGUGUCAAACUGCUUUCUUGAACCACUUUUAUACUAAGUCAAGGUCAAACUUGUUGAGAACCAAGAUCUCAAGUUUUCAGCAAGGACCGACUGAACCUUUCUAUGAAGCCUGGGAACGUUUUAAGGAGUAUGAACGUGAUUGCCCUCAUCAUGGAUUUCCCGGAUCAAGCCUGCUGAGCACAUUUUACCGAGGUUUGCAACCAAAAUACAAACUUUCGCUUGAUACAGCUAGCAAUGGAGAUUUUUGACAAAAGACGAUAGCACAAGGAAGAGCCCUCAUCGAGAAUUUGGCUCAAGCCAAUAGCAAUGACUGUCCUGAAUACGAUCGCUCGACAAAGCAAAUCGGAACAGACAACAAGGAGAUAACCGAGUUGAAGAACAUGAUGAGCCAGCUUUUGAAAAGCAACAAUCGCCCAAUCCAUGCUUGUGAGACCAACAAUGGCGCAGAAGACGAAGGACCUAGUGAUAUCGAUCACAUUAAUCCAGCCUUUCAAGAAGAAGAAGUGAACUAUGUAGGGGCACAAGCACCAUAUCCAAAUCGCUUCAACAAUGGCUUCAACAACAACUUCCGGAAUGCAAACUACAACAAUCGCUCUUACGCAAUCCAAAUGUGGAGAAUCCUCAAGAUCAGUACUACCCACCACAGCAAAAAUCCUUCCAAAACAAGUUUCAAGGUGGAAGUUUCGGAGGGACAGAAGCUUAUCAACCGCGACAGCCAUAUAACUAUCAAGGUAUGGGCUUUAACAAUCAAUUUGUACCACAGCAAGGAGUCACAACGAACCAGCUAGCUUCGCAAAUCGGACACUUGAACAGUCCAUCCAACAGCUCGUUAUGACAAACGAGAAAGUAUCUAAAGACAUGAACGUCAAUUACUGCAUGUACAAUGACUUGAACGGGAAGUUUGAAGCUUUAUAUUCGCACGUCAAAAAGCUAGACGUACAAGUUGCCCAAACAGCCGACUCUAUGAAGAGACAAAGUGGAGCUCUUCCCGGAAGAGUUGAAGAUAACCCCAAGAGAUUUUGCAAUGCUAUAACCAUACUGCCCGAAGAAGAAGCCAGAACCGAUGGAAAAGAUGAAGAAACCCCAAUCUUUGUACCACUUUACAAGGAUGUCGAUGCCAAGCAGCGACCGUUCAAGGUACCUCAACGUUCACCGUUUCAAAGGCUUACAAAAGCCGACGAUCCGUGACGUUUUGUUUUCCAAUGAUUCAAUUCAGGAAUCAAGUUCACAGGCUGUCUAUGCGAUUCCGGAGCCAAUGUCAACAUCAUGUCAAAGACAUUUGCCGAAAAAUUGGGCAUACAAACCUUAAAGACAUCGACGGUCAAGGUUAUCUUUAGUGAUUCAUCUCAAAAAGAUACUAAGGGGCGAUUCAUGAUCUACAAGUUCUAGUAGGGGACAAGAUUGUUCCAGCAGAUUUCCAAGUCCUGGAAAUGGAUCAAGACAAGGAGAGACCACUCAUAUUCGGGAGACCAUUUCUAGCUACUGUAGGAGCAGUAAUCGAUCACGCGAACCGGCAUGCUGUCUUCCUCAAUUUAGAUCGCAGAAGGUUUUAUCUGACUGUCCUAGACGACUUUCCAAGCAAAGGAAACCGGCCAAAAGAGAAAGAAAAGGAGAAUCCAAGAGCUUUUGCAAAGAUCAAUAUCAUCAUUCCACCAGAUGCAACAUAAACUAGUGAGGACCAAAUCCAGGAACUGAUCGAAAACACAAAAAUGGUUUUAAACAAUGUUAAAGUCCGAAAAAAGAGUAAAAGAAAGAAGACGGCUCCCCAAGGAGAAGAAGUUAAACCUCCAGCGACCGGAAAUGAUAAGGGCACAUCAAGUGGAGUGCCAUUUAAAUCAGCCUGAUUUUUCAUGCCUACGUCGAGCUAAACGACUUAAAACAAAAGCGCUUAAUGAGAGGCAAUCCAUUUAGGUACCCUUUCUUUUAGUUUUCUUUUCCUUUUUACAAUUUAUGUUUUAUUUUUCUUUUAAGUUUCAGGUAUUCUUAUAUAACAAAAACACAAUAAAAUCAGAAAAUUAGAAAAAAACGAGAAAAGAGGAGAGGUUUUUAGCUGCUCGGCCUGGCAGAAACCUGAAAGUUGGACGAAGGCCACAGGAGAAAAGGCCGCGGUCGCGACCAAACGACUUGCGGCCAAAUCAUCAUCGACCGCGGCACCAUGAAUGUGACCGCGGCCGAGCUUAUGAUUACCGCGGUCGUGCGUCUCCUGACCGUGGCCGUUGGUCGUUGAGACGGGAACUCGGACUUCCGCCGCUUUUCAAAAGUUCCCGGUGUUUCCCGGUGUUACCUGGUGUUUCCUGAUGUUACCUGGUGUUUCUCGGUGUUUAUCCUGUGUUUCCUGGUGAUUCCCGGUGAUUCCCAGUGUUUUCCGGUGAUUCCCGGAACAUUCCUGGAAAUCUAUCAUCAAAUCUCUCUUUCCAGCAAGGUAUGAAGCUCAAACUUGCCAUUUUUAAUUGAUCUUGGAAUUUAGGGUUUUCUUAAAAAGCUCAAAUCUUGGUUUAUUAAUGGUGGAAAUAGCUUAAAGACAAUAGAUUAUGCUUAUAGGUUAUCUGAAAAUCAAUUUUAACACCUAGCUUAAGAGGAAUUGAGAUUUUUGAAAUUUGGAUUCUACAUGCUUUAUAAAAAUCGAAUUUGGAACAGUAAAAUUGAUGAAUUUGAUUAAGUUUUGUGUGAUUAGUGAUUAGUAUUAGGUAACCUCUAGAUUUGACAUUGCUCACUAAAACCGAUUUUUAGAAGAUUUCUAUGUUGAGAACAUCAAAAAUCCGAAUCUGGUCAUGAACUACUCGAUUUCUUCGAUUCAGUAUCAAUUAUGUCUGCCUGUGAUUUUAACUAAUCUCUUGAUACUAUGAUUAGUAUAACUGAUCGCUAAUGUGUUAAAAUCAGCAUCCAUAUUCACUCUUUUUCCAAGAAUCAUCUCGUCUUGUAGGAAAAAUGGGACAAAACAGAUCCCGAAGAAGCCGUCACACUGGUGACAGCUCUGAGGACAUUCCCGAUGAUAGUACUCUUGGAGAGUACAUGCUGAACCAAGCCAGACCGAGAAGAAGAAACUACGUGAUGAGGCUGCUCCAGCACUCAAGAGAAACACGAGCAGUCCCUGAGCCACCACAGAUCCGAUACAUUGGGAAAGAGAUCAACCCGAGAGUGGACUAUGCAAGAUGUUUCAAAAAGUUGAACCUCAAACCAACGCCUUGCAUUGAUUAUCAUACACUCGAGAUGCUUGGGAUUAUAGAAGAUGUAAUCUGGUACAUCGAUACACUUAAGCUGAGACCCUACAUGGAGCUGAACCUUCCAACUUAUCCCGAGCUAGUCCGCGAGUUCUUAGCAACUGUCACACUCCACCAAACGAAGAGGAGGAACCCCAGAGCAUAUGACGGCAUCUUGUCAUUCUCUAUCCGCGGACAGACUUACUCACUCACCAUUUUUUCACUUUGUGAAGCUCUUAAGCUUUCAUACACUGAUGGCAUUCACCUUGAAGAAGAACCCGAUUUUGACUUAUAGAGAGAUGGAUCAUGGUGUCUAUGAUAGUGGGAGAUCCAAGUCAGCCCUCUUUACUCAUCCUGCGGUGCGAGUUGUGCACAAACUCUUAGCACACACGAUUUUCUCUAGAGCCAACAUGGGAUGUGUUUUGAAGACCGAGCUUAUUACACUUCAGAUGUCAUUUAUGGACGACCCACGACUUGCCUGCUUUGCCUGGAUCAUAGCACAGAACAUGGUUGCAAGGACGCUACUCCAGCUUACGGGAGCGCUAUUACAGUGAUACUACAGGCUGUAGGAUUUGAUUUCUCAUCUGAUGAUCCACUUCCCGACGCCUGGUAUGACCUACUCUAUCUCUCUUGCGAUCACACUAUCUUUCGUGCCGCUUUCUAUCCAGACAGGUUCGAUUACAAGUAUUGCACUGGCACCGAGGAGCACCGACUCUUCUUACCUUCAGCAUCAGUCCUGAUAUUGUUUCACGGAGGACGUCCGCGAUGGACUCCGGAGCCCGAUGAGUUUCUACCAUCUAUGCCUCGUCUACCAUUCACCAUCGGCCAAUACAUAGUGGCCAAGGCAAAGCGCGAUGCACCUGCGGCCCGUGCUCACUUUCAGCCAUCUGUUUUGACCGGCCACACUUAAUCAUCGACAUCGUCACACACACACAUUCUGAUCUGGAGCGCAGAUUUGAGAGACAAGGACGACGCUUUAAGCGCGUAGUCACCUUUCUACAGGAGCAGCACCAGUUCGAAGCAGACACAUCGGAGGAUGAGUGAUUGAUCAGCACUUCACCGUCAUUUGACAGCCAUCACGGUUCUAUUAUCAUUUUCUUUCCUUUAUCUUAUUUUAUUUUCGCUUUUGUCCACCAUCUUUUCACCAACUUUUUCACACUGGGGACAGUGUGAUUUAAGUCUAGCGGAGGAUGUCUAUCCGUACUAAUCAUUUUCUUGCUUUGCUUUCAAAAUUUCAAGUACUUUUUAAAAUUUAAUAUGUAACCUAUUCGACCUUAAGUAUUUUUAAGGAAUGUUUGACACAAAACUAUGAUGAUUUAGACCUGCACGCUUCUACACUACGCAUGAUAGCUCAUUUGUGGUUAGCACUAGACUAGGCGGUAGCUAGAGUACUUGCACUACGAACUCCCACCAGAGGACUUCUAUUCAUGGAGAUUCUUUCUGACAGGAUAUACUAGCUCAUUUUAUUUGACCUUAAUAUUGAUAUCUAAUUUUCUCAUCAUUGAUUUUAGGCAGGCAUCGAGAUAUACAUCUAGGACAUCUUUUACCCUCAUUUUUACCACUCUUUGUCGUCCUAGAUGGCCAGUUCAUCUUUAUCUGGUACCAUACCCUAAAACCAAAACCCUUGUUUUCAAUCCUCAUGCAUUCUCUGUUUAGUUUAUAUCAGCAGAUAUGUGCAAAAAUGUCGGAGAGAAGAGGAGCGACACAGUUUUCAGUCACUCACAAGGAAGACUGAAUGGAAUUGGGAAGAAGAGUAUCAAAAACCUUAUUAAGCUUUACAAGACCGAUUUUAAUUGGUAAUUUCGUGCUCUAUGACUCUAUAUCUAAAGGUGUUCCCUCUUUAAAAACAAAAAAAUGAAUGAAAAGAGAGGGAAACAAAAAGUUUAAUGAGUCUUAGAUUCUCAAAAUUUUUGGAGCAAGAAGCAACCACUAUUCGUUUGAAGAGCUAUGGUUUUGAAAGAUUUACAAAAAUCUAAGUCUGGGGGAGUUAGGAGAGAACCUGAGGGAGAAGACCAGGAAUCUAUGGCAAGAGGAAAGUGACUGGAAACUGUGGACAUCAACAGCUUCACUCUCACCUGCAGUCAAGGCCAAUCGGAAAAACGUUUCAAAACAGUCCCGUUCAGCUCAUACAAGCAUCUGUGGAUCUGGUACACCUCUUGGGAUGACUAAACCACUCCAUCAACAACUGGUUUGCUCCAUUAGCACCCAAAGAUCUGAAGAAGAGGACAAGUCAUGGCCUUGCAACAUGGCUUUGUCUUGUGAAGAUGAGUAUGAAGAGCAAUACUCUGAAGAUGAAGAGUAUGGGUUGUUUGUAGAAGAUCCAAACGCAGGAUAUUACUCAGAAGAUGACUCAGGAGAAAUUCAAUGGAUCACCAACAACAUCAGUAGAGAAAAACUAAUGGAGUUCAACAACGUAGUCAGGUCAUUCCCUGCUCAUUUAAGCUUUGAUGAGAUCUGGAAACUUGGUCGUUUGCAAGUCUUUUUCAGGUACUGCAAGGAGUCUAAAGAGGAUAUCCAUAGAUACUUUAUGAGGGCUCGAUACAUGACAACACCAGAAGCAGCUGUCUAUGCGAUUCAUCUCAAAAAUCCGGAAGACUGCAGCCACUACACCAACAAAAUCAGCAAGGAAAAGCUCGGCGAAUUCAAUGAUGUGGUUCGAAAUUUGCCUGAAGGAAUCACGUUUGCCAGAGCUUGCAAGGACUUUAUGAUAGGACACUACUUCUGUGAGAGCAAAGAAUCAAUCCCUGAGAUAGAAGACUUGUUCAAUCAUGCCAGAAGAGGUAAACCUGUUCGAACACUUCACAAAAUCGAUGGUGCAGGUCAGUUUCUUAUCUCUUGUUCUAUUAGAGGAGAAAUGUUUAAAAACGUGCUAUGUGAUUCUGGAGCUUGUCUUAACAUGAUGUCCAAGGCAAUUGCUUUGAGACUUGGUAUUAGACACCUGUGCAGGACUAGAGCAAAGAUUAGUCUAGCUGAUGAUUCCAAUGCAACACCCAAAGAAAUAGCUCAUGAAAUUCCUUUGAGAAUUGGAGAUUGCAUAGUGCCUGUCGACUUCUACAUUGUCGAAACGAGAGAUGCAACAUAUCCAGCGAUUCUGGGAUGGUCUUUUCUAGCAACUUCCGGAGCUAUAAUGGACUGGCCAAACCGGAGGACUUCAUUUGCUAAUAUCGACAAAGAUGUCUUCACAGAAGCUGUCCCAUACAACAGCAAAGCAGGAAAACGUUCUGCAGCAGAAGAGUUUGAAAAAGAACUUUGGAGUGACGAAGAACCUGCUAAGCAAAGCAAGGAGAUGUCGAAAAAGACUUGUCUGAGGACAAGGUCUUCUUCAUUGGAAUAAGUCACGUCCAACACCAAAAGUCGAGCUAAACGACUUAAAACAGAAGCGCUUAAUGGGAGGCAACCCAUUUAGGUAUUGUUUUCUUUAGGAUUUUUCUUUCUUUUUCUUUUGAUCUUUUUCUUUUUCUUAGUUUCAGGUGUUUCUUAUAAAACAAAAAAGCCAAAAAUAUCAAAAAACCAGAAAAAAAAACCAAAAAGAAGGAUGGUACCUGACUGCUCGGCCCAGCAGGAACCAAGGAGAAUCAGGAAGAGGCCGCGAUAUAAGCCCCCGCGGUUGCAGACGUUCUGACCGCGGGAAACCUAUCAUCGAUCGCGGUCGCGUAGUUCUGACCGCGGCCAAGCGCUUGGUUGCCGUGGUCGUAUGGCCCCUGACCGCGGCACUUGGUCGUUGACAUUCAAACCCGACCCCAAACCACCCACUUCACCCCAUUCCACCUCACCAAUCACCCUCCACCUCAUUCAUCACCCUCCACCACCUUCAUCACCACCUAAUCACCUUCCCAAACCUCUUCGAAUGAAUCCGGUUCAUCUCCACCAGCAUCCCGGAUCCAGGUAAGUUCUCUUUAGCCUUACCAAUUCGAUUAUCUAUGCAUUUUUCUCAUCCAAUCUCGACUUGUUUCACACUGAGGACAGUGUGAUUUAAGUCUGGGGGAGGAUUUCAUCCCUUUCUAACCACUUUUCUUUCAUGAUUCUUGCAUUAUCUACAUUUUUUGCAUUUUUCCUAAAGUUUUUCAAAAUCGGUUUUCAAAACAAAAUAUGUUUUAAAGGGAAUGGUGAACAUGAAUCAAUGAUAGUUGACUGUGUGCUUUAGACUAUUCCUAGUGACUUGCUCAUUCAUGAUUUAGGACUAGACUAGGCGGUAGCUAAGCACAUUUCAAACAAAGUACCCCAGAGGAAUUUGAAUGAUUUCGAUUUAGAUGAAGGGAUACACUAGCUCUGUUUUAUUUGGACUUAAUUUGGACUUAAUUUUCUCAUUGAAGCAUUAGACCAGGGAAACGAAUCAUACAUUCAGGACUCCUUUAUCCUUUUACCACUCUCUGUUAAUCCUGAAUGGCUAGUUCAUCUUUAGCUAGUUCCCCACCUUAACCAAUCCUCUUUCAAACCACAUGCACUCUUGUUUUCUAUUGUCUUAUAUGCAAAUAAGUGCAAAAACGUUGGAGAGAAAGAGGAACGACGCAGUUUUCAGUCACCAAGGACAGAGACCUGCAAUUUGCCGGAAAAGUUCCCGGAAUGAUUCAACACAACAGGAAACUCAGUUUGCCUUAGAAAAAUCUCAAAUUUUGGUACAAUCUCGUCCUCUAGUCUCUCUCUCUUUAAAAGGCAUUUCCUUUCCAAAAAAAAAAAAAAAAAUCCGAAAAUAAGAAAAGAAAGGAAAUGAAAGCCUUAGAGAGUCUAGAGAGGUCGAAUUUUAAGUCCCAAGGCAACUGGAGUUUGAUUUUAUGGAUUUUUGGAGAUUGUUUUCUGAUUCCCAAAAAAAAUCUAAGUCUGGGGGAAUAGCUGUUUACAACAAAGGAGGAAGGAUUAUGCAACAACAUUUGGCAAGAAGAAAUAACUGAAAACUGUGGUCAUCAACAGGUCCUUAUCUCUCUUGCGGUUUUGCAUAUUAUCUUGCAUCCUCCAGAUCUUCAGGUAACCCGAAAUACUUUAACUCCACCACUUAAACAGCCCUUUAAUGCCAAACGCCGUCUACCCUGGAUGAUUUUUUUAAUGAGAACUCACUAUUGAACUUAAUGAAUGUAGAGAGCUAGUUGACUGGAAUCAAGAUUUAAAUUGUUUAAGUUUUGCAUGACGGAAAAAGUGGAUUAGUAUCUCUUGUGCAUUGGUGAGAAUUUUCUAGACUAAGUUGUGGAUUGAUGCACUAUCUUUGGUCCUAGUUUAGAAUUCAUGUCUAUGAGAUUUGUGCAUUCCCUAUUUUUGUUUUCACUUAAUCAGUUUAGGCUUUUGCUUUGUUUGAGGACAAACAAAGGUUUAAGUCUGGGGGAGUUCAUAACACCGUAUUUUGACCACUUUUAUGGAUCGUUUUGAAUACUUUUUCUAUGUUUUUAAUUGCUUUUAAGUACUUUUAUUACGUUUUUCUAUUAUUUGUAGUUCCAAGACUCUUUUCAGGAAACUUAGGGAAAAGCUUAACAAAAUGGAUAGAAAACCAGAUUUCAGCUCAGAGUCAAACCAUCAGAAGUUCACCCCUGAUUGAAGGCCUUCUCACCGUCUGAUCCAGCUCAAAUUUGGAGACCUUAAAGAUGGAAGUAUCAGCUUUCCAUUUCACUUUACAGCUUGGCAAUCCAACGGUUCAAUCAAAAGAUACGCGAAGAGCAAGAUGUCCCGUAAACCAGCCGGCAAGCACUUCCACCCGCGGCCAAACACUCAUUCCCCACGGUCAGGAGCAUCCCGACCGCGGCAAACCACUCAUUCCCCACGGUCACACUUGUCCCGACCGGGGCCAUCAAACUCCGAGCCCAAAAAGCCCAUUUCUGAAGCCCACAUUUGGAGAAACCCUAAGUGACGUCUAGAGAGGUCUUGAGCACUAUAAAUACAUGUCUUUGGAACCCUAAACGAAAAGAUAUCGAGUAAGCCCAUAUCAUCUAUCAUUACUAUAUAUUUUUAUUGUUUUUGCUUUAGGUUUUAGGGAGAGAGAGAUUUAUUCUGUUGAACCCUUGUUCUUUCUUUUUCAAUUUCGGUUUCUAUCCUACUUCUUAAUACUAUGUCUUUGAUUUCGUUCAUUAUGUCUGAGUAGUUUUAUUGUUGGGAUUAAGGGAUUUUUGAUGGGGAUUUAUAUGUUCGAUGAGGAUUCCAUGAGCUUUUGAGCCGAAUCUUAGAACUUUUUCUUCUGAAUUCGUUUUUACUGCAUGAGAGUAGCGUCAUGAACUAUAAUCUGAUCCAGAUGCUUGGUGACACGAAAGUGUUCAUCAGGUAUCAGAUCUAGUUUGGGAGAGCAAAACAAACAUAGGAGUGGAAACCUAUCUAUGGGCGAUUUGUGAAUUAGGACGAGUCUUAAACAUAAUGCAUCUCUUCUCUUCCAGGGCCAGAGUGGAAACCUACUGGUCAGGGUUGAGAGAGAUAGUUGUCUAUGAUCACGACAGUGGCGUAUUCAUACGUCCGUGACUCCAGUUCGAAAAGUUUAAGCUAAGAUCUUAUCAAAUUUACUCUCUAGCAAUGUUUUGAAUCGUUCGUACCCCUGAGAAAACCUCCCUGAACCCCAACGCCUUCUUUCCCAUUGAUUUACACUGAUUUUCUUUCAAGCUUUAGUUCAAUAUUGUCUUUCCUUUUUAGUUCAUUUUCAUUUAAGCAAUUAGAUAUCUGUUUUUUACAUUUUUAGUCAUUUUCGUUAAGUUUAGUUAUUACGUCAUUUAAUUCCCGUAUUCUCUUUUAAUAUUUCGUUUUUACAUUUUAAACACACUACCAAACCCCCAAAAAACCGUUUUGGUUCUAGACUUCCUUACUUUAUAUUUCAAAGGCUUUUUGCAGGAAAAGAUCCUCCUUCCCUGUGGAUUCGAUCCCUAAGUACUAUAAUCGAUCAGCUGUGCACUUGCGGCUAUUGAUUUCAUUUAGGGUAAAACUUGACAACCUUCACGACAACACCACAUCAACAAACAACCAACCCCUAAAACCAAUUUAGUCUAGACAUAAAGUUAGAAACCGUAGAAGAAUACCAGGCACACAAAUCUCUGUGGAUUCGAUCCCUAAAUACUACAACUGAUUAGCUAUGCACUUGCGGCUUUCAUUUGUUUUUGUUAAGGGUAAAACUUGUUCCCUCACGCAGUUGACACGCAUCACCAUGCAUAACUAGGGUAGUACUCAUUUGAGUAAGAGGAUUGAGUCUUCCAUUUUUUUGGAAUAAGCCAUUAGCAACGGAAUUGCAAUGAACCUCAAGAAAUCCGUUGCAAAACCAAGAAAUCUGUUGCAAAAUUGUUGUCAUUUUGUUACAAGCUGCAAAAACUAGAAAUUUCUUAAGUAUGAUAUCACAAAUGGCUAAUUAUAUAUUCACAAUGGUUCUUUCAGAAUUUAUUCUUGUUUUCCGUCAUCUUUAAUGUUUUCUUUGCUAAUUGAUUAGAAAUCUAUGAUAUGUAAAAAAUAUUGCUUAUAAUUAAAUGAGCUAGUAAGUGUGUAUUCAUCUUAACUCAUACUUAAGAUGAAUGUUACACUUCUAGAUAUUUUUAACCUGAAUGUUGAUUUUGUGGUAUUUUCCUUACAAUUAAGGAAUGAACUUAAAUUGUGCUAUAUAACAUGCCUAACUUGGCUAGUACUUAUUUGAGUAAGAAGAUUGGGUCGUCGUUUUUUUUUGAAUGAGCGAUUAGCAAAAGAAUUGCAAUAAACCUCGAGAAAUUGUUGCAAAACCAAGAAAUUCGUUGCAAACCCAAGAAAUCUUUUGCAAAAACGUUGUCAUUCUGUUGCAAGCCGCAAAAUAUCAAGUUUCUUAAAUAUGAUACCAUACAUGGCUAAGCAUAUGUUAACAACGAUUCCUUAAUAUAUUAUUUUUGUUUUCCGUCAUCUUUAAUGUUUUCUUUGCUAAUAUUUGAUUACAAGUCUAUAAUAUGUAAAAAACAUUGCGUAUGAUUAUAUGAGAGAGUAAGUGUGUAUUCAUCUUAACUCAUCCUUAAGUUGAAUUUUACACAUCUACAUAUUUUUGACAUGAAUGGUGAUUUUGUGGUAUUUUCUUUCACUGAAGGUAUGAAAUUUAAAUUGUCCUAUAUAACAUUCCUAACUUGGAUAGUACUUAUUUGAGUAAGAUGAUUUGGUCUUCGUUUUUUUUUUUGGAAUGUGCUAUUAGCAACAGAAGUGCAUUAAAACCAAGAAAUUCGUUGCAAAACCAAGAAAUUCGUUGCAAAACGGUAUCACAAAUGGCUAAUUAUAUGUUCACAACGGUUUUUUAAGAAGUUAUUGGGUCUGAUUGGUAGCAAUAAACAGGCGGUUGGCAAAGGCGUUUGAAAAAAUGGUUACCAAUCAGCAAGGUCGGUUGGAGAAAGCGUUUAAAACCGUGGUUGUAAUCAGCAUUUGAAACGGGCGGUUGAAGGAAGAUUCGGACAGUUGGAGGUUAAUUUUCGAGCGGUUGCAAACUGUAAAAAAAUAGGCGUUUAGAGCAAAUGAGCGGUUGUAGCCAGAUUUUUUUUUAAUAAUCAAAUUUGUGGUUUGAUAUUAAUUUUUAAUAAGAAAUUAGUAAAAUUAUUUGUUUUUUCUUUGUAUGUAUAUGUGUGUGUUGGUUUUUUUUUGUUAUUUCAUUCAAUUAACCAAACAAAAAAAAAUUAUGAGACAAUUGUUAUGCAUUUUAAAGUUAUUAAAAACACUUAUCCUCACUGAUAUUUAAAAAAAAAAACCUAAAAUUUGUUACCAAAUUGCAGAUAUGUUAUAGGCAUAUCAUAGGUGAAUGAUGCAAAUUUUUAUAAAACAAGAGGAGUUAUUUUGAUUUGUUUAAAAAUUUAUUUUAGAAAUAAUAACUGUAAUUUUUGUUUACUUAAAUUUCAUAUAGUAAAAUUUUCAACCGUUUUCUGUUAUAAAACCAUAUUUUCCAACCGCUAUCUCUAAUCGCCUCUUUUCUAACCGCCUUUGUUACAACCGCUCAAAAUUCUCUAACCACUUUGUUUAAGAGUCACCAAACGGAGUCAAAAUUCUUGUUUUCUGUUAUCUUUAAUGUUUUAUUUGCUAAUAUUUGAUUAGAAAAUCUUUAGUAUGUCAAAAAUAUGGCUUAUAAUUUUAAGAGAGAGUAAGUGUGUAUUCAUCUUAACUCAUCCUUAAGAUGAAUGUUACACUUCUACAUAUUUUUAACAUGAAUGGUGGCUUUGUGGUGUUUUCUUUCACUGAAAGUAUGAAAUUUACAUUGUGCUAUAUACGAUGCAUAACUUGGGAAGAACUUAUUUGAAUAAGAUAAUUGAGCCUUCGUUUUUUCUUUGGAAUGAGCGAUUAGCAACAGGAUUGCAAUGAACUGCAAGAAAUUUGUUGCAAAACCAAGAAACUUGUUGCAAAACUAAGAAAUCCGUUGCAAAACUGUUCUCAUUCUGUUGGAAGCUGCCAAACAUCAAAUUUCUUAAGUAUGAUACCACAAUGGUCUAAGCAUAUGUUAACAACGAUUCAUUAAAAUGUUAUUCUUUUUUGUCAUCUUUAAUGUUCUUUUUGCUAAUAUUUUAUUAGAAAUAUAUGAUAUGUUGAUGACACCUGAUUUUGGCUACUUUUAUGGAUCACUUUCAAUAUCUUAUGCAGGUGUUUUCACUCAGUUUUGAAGGUUUUAUAAGUGUUUUCCAUGUUUUGGAGUUUUAAAAGAUUUUUCAGGAAACUUGGAGUUUUGGAGUGCAUUUUGGAGCAAAAGUACAUUUUUGGAUAAAUUCAGGCCGUCAGAAGUUUGGCAACCAAAGAAGACCUUCUAACCGUCUGAUCAGCCCCAAAUUCUGAGACAUUAUACAAGAGACAGCCAGCUUUCCAACACACUUGGAAUCAAAGCAAUCCAACGGCUAGAUCUCCAGAUAUCAUCAAUGCACUGAAGGCCAAUCAACACAAAUCCAGUCAAGGACAGAAGCAUUCACCCGCGGCCAAGCUUGCUCCCAUCGUGGCUCAGGUUGUUUCACACCCGGUGGACUUAUGUGCGAACCUCAGGAGCCCAACCAAGGCCUAAGACACUUCCUGCACUUAUUUUACAAGCCCUAGACGCCCAGACUUGAAGAAACACUAUAAAUAUUCAUUUUUAGGUCUCUUGUAAGAGAGCCUCUUUAUUCUCUUUGAGAGAGAGAACUCAUUUGAAGCUUUAGGUUUUAUUUUUAUGCAUCUGUAGAAGCUUUUCAUCGCCACACACUGUCUUCAAUAAGAGAAGUUUUUCUGCAACUUUCGUUUCUUUACUUUUCUGCUUUCUAGUUCUUAAAUCGAUGAUGAUGUCUAACUCAGCCAUGUCUGAGUAGUCACCGAGUUACGUUGGAUGAAGAGGAAAUCCAAAGGGAUCCCAUGUUCGAAUGACAUCUAGGUUUUUAGGAAAAAUGAUUUCGAUUUUUACAUGAUUCUCCCAUUCAUCAAAAUCUCAAAGCGGUAACUCUGGAUUGAUCACCCAGAGUCUGAUCCUAUGUUAGAUCUGAGCCACGAGAGUGUUGUAUAUGGGUUGCCUGAACUAGAUCUUAUGGACGUCACAGUCGUAGGAGACGAAAGCUACCGACGGAGGAUACGUAAGCCGAGAUGGAUUCUGAUCUGAAAUGCAUGAUCUUGUUCUGGCAUGAGAACGAGAGUUAAUUGCCAUGAAUGAGUGAUUAGAUGAUUAGGAUGACGAGAGUCGGCCUAAUCUUACAAGUGUUUAUCCUAGUUUCAGAGUCAUAGAAAAUUCUUGCCUAAAUUCCUUGGGUUUUAGAACGUGAAUCCUAAAGAUGAACUAAACCCAGCGCCGUUUUUCAUAUAGUUUUCAACCAAUUUUUAUUUCAUGCAUUUUAAUUUUCUGCUUAGUUAAAUUUAGUGACAAACCAAAACCCCUUUUUAAUCGAUUAGGUCUAUGAUUGUUUUUAGCAUCAAUUAGAAUUCCUCAUGAUAACACUGGAUUUUGACCAUUUUUAUGGAUCACUUUGAUAUCUUUUGUAGGUGUUUUUACUCCAUUUUCAAAGGUUUUUAAAGGAUUUAUAUUUUUUCGGAUUUUAAAAGGCUUUUCAGGUAAUUUGGGAGAAAGAGGUGCAAAUUGGAACAAAGAGACUCUUUUGGAUAAAUUCAGACCAUCAGAACUCUCAUGGAGAGACGAAGAUCACCCUCAAAAUUGGAAACUUAACAGAAGACUCAAUCAGCUUUCAAAUGCACUUGGUUUGGAGACAUUCCAACGGUUGAAUUUCAAGAUAUUCCAUUUGCUCCAGAGAUAUUUGAAGAUGGCCGGAAAGCCACGCGACCGUGGCCAGCAGCCCAUCCACCGCAGCCAGAGCCAAGCGACAACGGCCAAGCCCUCAUUCUCCACGGUCAAACUUCACACGACCGUGGCCAGACAUGUUCGACUUAAGAAGCCCAUUUCUGAAACCCAAGUCAUUUCCCAGCCUCAAUUCCGGAACCCUAGAGACCUUGGAGUAGUGAAGACUAUAAAUACUUUUCAUUUAGGUCGUUUUUAUGUAUCACCAUUCAUACUUUUACAGAAACCCUUUUUCCAGCCGUUUUAUGCGAUUUUUAGAGAGGAUUCUUCAACUCUGAGUUCAUCAAUAGAGAAGCGUUCUUUCAUCUCAUUUCUUUACUGUUUUUGAUUGCUUUCAUUAAAAACAAUGAUGAUGUCGACCUCAGCCAUGGCUGAGUAGAUCCCGAGUUGGGCAUAGGGUUCCCGAAAGGGGCUCUCAUAAUCGAUUACGACAUCUAGGUUUCAGAUAUGGGAUUUUAACUAUGUUCUCUGUUUAUUCUUAUCUCUAAUGCAUGUAUGCUUGAUUGAUCACCACAUAUCUGAUCUAGAUAGUUAGUGUUGCAAAAAUUUUCAUAAGUAUACGACCUAGAAUGAAACAAGAGAUUUUUCCAUAGGAGGUGAAACCUACCUACGGUGAAAUCGUGAGUGAUAACACCGUAUUUUGAUCACUUUUAUAGAUCGUUUUGAAAUAAUUUUUCUAUGUUUCUUAUUGCUUUCAAGUGUUUUUAUUAUGUUUUUCUAGUAUUUUUAGUUUCAAGACUCCUUUCAGGAAACUUAGGAAAAAGCUUGACAAAAUGGAUAGAAGACCAGAUUUCAGCUCAGAGUCUAAGCCUUCAGAAGUUCACCCCCAAAAUGAAGGCCUUCUCACCGUCUGAUCCAGCUCAAUUUUUGAAACCUUAAAGAUGGAACUACAGCACACUUUACAGCUUGGCAAUCCAACGGUUCAAUCAAAAGUUACGCGAAGAGCAAGAUGUCCCGUAAACUAGCCGGCAAGCAUUCCUACUCGCGGCCAACAGCCAUUCCACCAUGGUCCCGACCGCGGAUAUUGGUCUUUCCGACCUCGAAGCCCAUUUUCAAGUCCAGAAUGAUUCCCUCAUUUGGAGAAAUCCUAAGUGAUGACUUGGACACUAUAAAUACAUGUUUUUAGGAGCCCUAGACGAGGGAGACACAUAUAAUUUAUUCUUUUGCAGCUUUUAAGUUUUUGUCUUUCAUUUUCUUAGUUUUUAGGUUUAGCGAGAUAGAAAUCUAUCUCUUGAACCCUCUUUGUUCUUCUAUCAUAUCGAUUUCUACUCAGCUUUUUAAUACAAUGUUUUUGCUUUCGUUUAUCAUGUCUGAGUAUUUUUAUUGUUGGGUUUAAUGGAUUUUUUAUGGGGGCUAUAUAUGUUCGAUGAGGAUUCCAUUAGCUGUUGAAGCUGAAUCCUAUAACUUUUUCUUCUAAACUUAUUUAUAAUGUAUGGGAGUAGCGUCAUGAACUACAAUCUGAUCUAGGUCUUGGGUGUUGCGAAAGUUUUUAUUCGGGAUCAGAUCUAGUUUGAGAAGAGAAGAUCGACCAUAGGAGUGGAAACCUACCUAUGGGAGAGCUGUGAAUGUUGAGGAGUCUUAAGCAUACGACAUCUUUUUUCUUCCAGGGCCAGAGUGAAAACCUACUGGUCAGGGUUGAUAGAGAUAAUUAGUUAUGAUCACGAUAAUGGCGUAUUCAUACGUUCGUGACUUGAGUUCUAAAAGUUUUAGCUAAGAUCUUUUAUUUUACUUUUAGGCAAUGUUUUGAAUCGUUCAUCCCUCGGAGAGAAUUUCCCUAAAAACCCAGUGUUUAUUUUCUAUUGAUUUACACCGAUUUUCAUUCAAGUAUUUAGUCUAGUAUUUCAUUCACUUAGCCGAUUUUCAUACAAGCAAUUAGGUCUAGCCUUUUUCUCGUUUUUAGUCGAUUUCUUUAAGUUUAGUUACUAGGUCAUUUUAAUUCCCGUAUUUUCUCGUUAUGAUUAGUUUUUAGGUUUUAAAGACACCACCAAAACCCCUAUAAAAAUCGUUUGGUUCUAGACUUCCUUACUUCACAUUUCUUUCGAAGGCUUUUGCUGGAAAAUCAUCCUUCCCUGUGAAUCCGAUCCCUAGGUACUACAAUCGAUCAGUUGUGCACUUGCGGCUAUUGAUUUUCAUUUAGGGUAAAAAUUGACAACCCUUACACGACAGCAACAUCAAGUUUUUGGCACCGUUUUCGGGAAAGGCACACGUUUUCUUCUCCGCAGAACCCUAAGAAAGGUUUGUAAAUCGACUCUAGAACCCUAUUUCUGGUUAUUUCCCUUUUUUGGGUUCUUUUUGCUUCAGUUCCCGAAGCAAUGAACCCUAUAAAUCGAAAUCCCUACUACGAGAGAGGUUUUCACAACACUCCUCAAGCCACCAGACGCGGAGAAGAGCAAUAUAUAUGUUUUUAGAAACGAUAAGACUACUUCAAAAAUAUUUUUAGGUAUUCUUGAAGUAUAACAUCUCAAGUGAGUAUUUAUAGGGUGGACAAUAAUAUUCAUUUUUUCCAAAUUUCAAGAUUUUUGGGGAAGACUACUCGACUUAUUAGUAUGAACACCUAACCGUUAGACUUUUUAGUUUUUUCAUUUCACAUAUUUAUAAGAAUAUUUGUACGAAUAAAUACAUAAAAUUGUAACAUAUGGACCUACAUAAUUGUCUUUUUUUUGUUAUCGUCUUGCCUGAAUAUCUUAUUUCCUAAAAUAUUGAAACAUAACAUUGUUUAAAUAAUAUUAUCUACGACAAGAGAUCAUUCUGUCUCUAUGGAAUGUUUCAUAAUUUAGUAACAUGGUAUAUUUACUUACUGAGGUUGCAUGUAUCUUUGGUGAAUCUUAAAACAUGGAAUAUAUUCUCUCUGACACGUGAAACGAAAUUGGUCGAUAUUGAUAUGGAAAUGUAUUGACAUCAAUUAGUGGGAUUGUUGUUGGUUUUGACAAUAAAGAGCCUUUAAUGGUAACUGUUCAAUGUUCUUUUUCAUAAUAAUUAAGUAAAAAAUAAUUUUAAAAGAAAGGAAAACUACCUAUUCAACUGCAUUGUCUAUCUUUUUUUUAUUUAAAACACUUUCCUUGUCCUUUGUCUCUUUUAUUUUUCUCUCUAGAAACCUCUUUCAGAAUUCCCUAUCGAAUAAAAAAAGGUUUUAAUAUGUCGGAUGCUGUCGAGGUUGCACGUUUGGAUACUUCCAAAACAGGAUGGAUUAUAUCUGUCAAAGUGGUCAUGCUCUGGAAACAUUCAACAUUCUGCGGAAACACUACCAAGAUGGUUCUAUCUAAUAUCGAUGUAUUUGUUUUUCGUAAGUUCUUUUCUUUUUUCUGUGUUCUAUAUAUAUUGUUCACUGCUUAUUUUUUAUUGUGUUAUUUUUUAGGGCACUCACAUCGCUGCAACCGUUAUGUCAAACGAAUUUUCCACUCACGCGAAAGAACUCAAACAGGGUCAUUGGUUCCGGAUCUUUAAUUUCAUCCUUAAGGAAGCAUCUGGAUCAAUCCUUACAACUACCAAUAAGUAUCGUUUGGAGUUAACUUCCAUCACCACUGUCACCCCUAUCAGAACGAGGUCAUACAAAUUGUUUCUCCACUGCUUUCGAUUUUAUGAUAUCGUGGAUCGAGCCAUCCCUUUUGAGUAUCUGAUUGGUAAAAAUUGCAUCUUAAAGUUUUUAUAAGAAUUAGUCCACUCUUAUCAAUUUGCAUGGAGGAUGUGUUAAAUUUGUUAAAUUAGUUUUUAUACAUAUGUGUUAAAUUUGUAAUAUAUUUAUAUUCCCUUUUCGAUUUUGUUUACUAUUAGACGUUACGGGAACUAUUGUGAAGAUGGGUGAACUCUGUAAUGUAAGCAACGACGCGAAUCUCUCUUAUCUUCGAUUUGAAAUAGUAGAUGCUCGGUAUUAUGAAUCAUGUGCUUUGUUUUAUAUAUGAAACACUAUCGACAUGCAAACUCUUUACCAAAUAUUUCAUGAUUUUUUGUUAUUGUUUUUCUUGUGACAGAAGGGAAGGUCGAUUAACGUGUUUUGCCUGUGGUUCUUUAGCAAGGAAUCUCUAUGAUGUAUAUCAGAGAAACUACUGUGAAUCGGUCAUCUGGGUCUUAAGGUUCUGGAAUAUGACAAAUGGCCAAGAUAUAGAUAUAUUUUCUCAUAAGAUGUCCUUAUUAAAUAUUGAUUGUUGAUUAAAACUAUUGUCUAUUGGUGUUUAGGUAUUGAUAAGAACUCUGUGGUUCUCCGAUCUAAUCCUCUUUGCUCAGACUUUUUGUAUAAUCCUAUCAAUGAUGAGGUUGAUGCAUUCAAAGCCACGUAAGUAUUUUUGAUAUUUUAUUCUAUAGAUUAUUGUUUGUAUGUUUAUAAAUAUGUGCUGGUAAUGAAUGUUUUAUAACUUUCGUAGGAGGAGUCGAAUGCAUCAACUGCCUAUGUCAUCUGUAAACCUAUUCUAAAUAAUUAUUGUAUUAAAAACUUUAUCUUUCUAUUUUCACUGUUUCCUCUUUAGUCUUUUGUACUCACUACUUAGGGUAGUUAUAUGUCGACUCUUUAAACUUGGAUCAAUGAUGUUAUCUAAUACUUUCUUAUGGUUUAUAUAAUAUUUUGAUAUGUAUUAAUGUUUUUAUAUAAUCCCUUUGAUGUAUUACAUUAUCAGUCUAGGUUUUAUGUACUAUGCUUUAUUUGUUCAUAUGGCUAUAUAUGCUCAAUGUCAGACUAGAUCCUUUUUAUAAGAUAUUCAUGGCUUAUAUUCUGACAAGUAUUGUAAAUCAUUGCUAGCAAUAAUUUUUUUUUCUAAACCAAUAAGAGUUUUUUGUAUAUCACUGGAAAUAGUUACUGACUGUCAUCAUAAAUUAUCAAUGGACAUCUACCUACAAUUGUCUUUUCCAAGAGUUUGUAGAAACUUUAAAAAUCAUGAUAGUUAUAGUUAGAAAUUCUACAAGAUGGGCUUGAUCAUAUUUCAUCACUAUGGUUGUUCAUGGAAUCAACAACAUUUUGAUAGAUGUCUAAAUUCGUUUAACAACAUUUAAUUUAAUCCAUGGAAACAACAACAUUUUGAUAGAUGUCUAAAUUCAUUUAUGUUUUAAUUAUAUACUAGAUUUUAACCCCGUGCGUCCGCACGAGAAUGUUUUAUUUUUUAUUUCUAAUAUAAAUUGCAUUUAUCUUUUUUUGUUUAGAUAUAAUUUGUUUUUGUUAUUUAUUUUUUUAAAUCAAAUAAUUGUUAUCAUAAUUUAAUUUAAAACAGUAAAAUUUGUAUAUUAGUAGAAUAAGAGUAGCGUUAAUUAAGUAUACAUUGAUCUAAUGUUAAUUAUAAACUUUGUUACUAUGUGAAUUUAGAUUUACACAUAAAAAAUCUAUAUAUCUAUGAAUUUGCUAAUCCAUCCAUUUAGUUGUCUUAAAUCAUUUUUAAUAUCUUACAUGUUUUGACAAACUAACCCGUAUAAGACUAUAAUUAUAAUUGUAUAACCCUAUAAAUAUUUACUAAUAUAGAAUAUUUGGACCAAUUGAUUAUGAAAAAAUAUAAUAAGAUAUUUAUUUAUUAUUUGUGCUAUUAAAAAAAUGUAUAUAUAUAUAUAUAUAAACUGGCUAACCUGUUAGUUUAAUUGUCUCAAAUCAUCUUAAUAUCUUACAUGUUUUAAUAAAUUAACUCAUGGACCUUAAAUAUAUAUAUAUAUAACUCUAAUCAGGUCGAUCGUAUUAUUGUAUAAUAUAAAUAUUUAUUAAUCUUAAAUAUUUGAUAUUUUAGACCAAUUGAUUAUGAUAAAAUACGAUAAAUAUUUAUUUACUAUGUAUUUUUAUAAAAAUAUUAUUUAAAUUUAAAAUUUUAAAUUAAAUCUUUCCUGUAUGUAAAAAAUUUUAAAGUAUUAAAAUUAUUAUCUAAAUUUUUGUAAUAAAAUUUAAUUAUAAUUUUUUUUUUGAAUUUUUUGAAUUUAAAUUAAAUUGAAUGCAAAUUUGUAACUAAAUUUAAUUAAAUUUCUAAUAAUUUGAAAUUUAAAUUAAAGAUAACCUAGAUUUUAGGAAAUCUAAAAAUAUCUAAAUUAAUAACUAAUUUUUCGAAAAUUAAAUAUAAAAAUAAAAUAAAAUAUUAUAAAAAAAAUUUUAAGAGUGUUUGGAUGCAAGCACUAAAUGUACUUCUAUUUUAAUAGAAUAGAUAUUUGCAUAAGAGAUCCAGUAUUGCUAAAUUUAUGUUUGCGUAAAAGGUCCAGUAUAGUUAAAUUUAUGUUUUUGUAUUACCUUAUUAAUCAACCUCUAGAAUAAAUCAUAUAUUGAGUUACUAGAAUCAAUAACAAUAAAAUUAAUAUAAUCAUGAAUUUUUUUUUAAGAAUUAUUUCUCGAUAUGAAAACAUAUAUAUAAUAUAUGCAUAUAUCUUUAUUUGAAAAGAUAAUAUGCUUGAAGAAUAUAUCUAUAAUAGAGUGUUAAGCAAAAAAAAUAUGCUUCUUUUCAAAAGAGUCCAUAAUUAUGACUAUUUAAUUUCAAAACAUCUGUAUUUACUACCUGCAUGUGGUUGAGAUUUGAUGUAAAACAACUUGGUAUUCCCCCAAGUUUUUAUUUAGAUAAACAAAAGUAUUUGGGUGAUGUCAUCUUUAUUGGAACAUGCGGUAGCUUAAGAUUUUAAAUAACUUAAAAGUAAUGAUUGUGCACUAUAUAGAUUAUACUAUUUGUUUUUUUUUGGUCUCGAUAUGUUCGCGUCGUAGAUCACUUGCGUGUAUUUUUAGUAAACUAGAAUCAUAAAUAUUUUAUUCUCUUAUAUUAUUUGGUGCUAAUCAAUCGGAAAAAAUAUAUAUUGAGUUAUUUGGGAAGUUGCUAUUGUCAGACAACUUGUGCCGCUUUAAUGAACAUUUUCCAUAUAUUUAGGCUGAAAAAAAGUAAACUACCGAAAACCUAAUGUGUAUAAUAAUAUUCUCUCUAUCUUCUUAUUUUGGUUUUUCUUUUUGUGAUCUUCAGACCAACAGAAAAAAAAAACAUCAUGUCGGAUGUGGCCGAUAUUUCUAGAUGGGAAACUCACACUCACUGUUCCGAGAUCUAUGUUCAAGUGCUUCGACUCUGGAAACAUGUCAACUUCUUUGGUGAUACAUCCUCUCGGACGAAAGGUAUUUUUAAGGUUGUUACUUCUUUAUAUAUUUUUCGGGAUUAUUUAAAAAGUAGAAUGUCGUUUUGCUUUUUAUUUUGGAUCUGAUACCAAAUCAUUCUUAGGGUGAUCGCAUUGCUGCAACUGUUAUGAUCGAUGAAGUUCCUCUGCAUGGUGUCGUAUUGAAACAGGAUUCUUGGUUUAAGGUUCGUCAUUUUAUUCACUUGCCCUACGCUCUCAUCAUCCAUGCUCUGACUUUUUGUGCAAUCCGGUUGAUGACGAAAUUGACAAGUUCAGGGUAAAGUAAGUAUAAGAUUUGUAAAUUCCUUUUUUACAAUAUUUUGUUAUUUGUGUUUAGAUAUACUGAUCUAAUCUAUCGAAUCUAUUUCUUCGUAGACGAUACCGUCUUCGUGAUUAAAGCAUCACCACCGGCGUGCACUUAUUGCUUACUUCUAUUUUCUUUAUCUAUAUAACUAAUGCUAUUAAGACACUUACCUUAUAACGACUGUUGCUUAAUCUCCUAUUUUGGUUAGAAUAUAUACAUCAUGCUUUAUUUAUAUUAAUGAAAUGACUUUUUUUUUUUAACACUGAUCUAUUAUUCUAUUACAAAUUAUGAGAACUAUUACAUCGACAAUUUAACAACGGACAAGUCUCCCACCUGCAAAUACGCCAAACGAAACUCCAUGCAUCACGUUAAAAACCUCCUGUAAGCUUGUCUCCAUUAAUCUGCAAAUUAAUAAUAAAUCGCACCUUCCGGGACUCGAAACCCAGAUCUCUUGGUGUAAAAGCAUUAAAGAACCCAUUAACCACUAGGCUAAGGAAGCUUCCACUAAUGACGCUAGAACCUUUUAAAUGACUUAGUUCUAUGAUUUUUGCACUAAACCUUUUAAAGUGAGAUUUAAAAUGUUAUCAUGUUUUUGAUAAUGUCUGGUAAUUGGUUAGGUUAUAAGUUAUUUUUUAUUUUGAUUAUGCUACUUUUUUGUUAUACGCACGAUUUUUAAUUUUAUUUGGUUUGUAAUAUGAAUUUAGUUACUUUUGAAAUUAUAUAUUCCAAAUUAUUUAACUAUUGAGUAAAAACAUGUAUUAUGUGAUAUACUAAUUGUUCGCUAAAUAAAAAUCAUUAUAGUGGUAUUUUCUACAAGAUCGGUUCAAUUAACUUUCAAAACUAUGAUUGUUUAUGGGUUCAAUAUCAAUUCGGUAUAGAGUAUACUUACAUUAACUUUUUAUUAUACCCAAAUGUUAUAUUAUUUAUUCAAAGAUUCCCAAUUAUUUAUUCAAAAAUGUCCAAUAUAGUUAAAAUUUAUAUUUCCAUCGUACCUUAGUCAAUACUCAGAAUAAAUAUAUAUAAUAGAUGUUCAAUAAUAUGAUGCAAUGUUCAUAUAUUUGGUUAGUAAAAUAAAAUAAAUACAUUAGAAGUAAAUAUGAGUUUUUUUCUUUUUAUUUAUAGAUAAAUUUCAAUAUUAAAACAGAUACUGUAUAUGUGUUUUUAUAAGAGACGAAGAUAUACAUGAUUGUGAUUAUCUGGAAAGAAAACAUAUUUAGUUAUUAUUUUAUGAAAUUAACAAACUUAGUUGUUACCGAUAAUUUAUAGUAAAAGCUUACGAUUAUAUCAUAUUGGCAUCCAACUUAUAAAACCGACAAUGUAAACACUUUCUAAUGAAUCGUCACCAUUAAGCGUCCCAAAAAAAAAAAAUGUUACUUAUAUAUUCUAUUUACAUCGGCUUCAGAGAAAAAAAAACAUAACUAUUUUAUGACAGUUAUCUCUCUAUAAUAUUUUGGAGAAAAAUGGCAACUUAUGAUUUGGUUCAUGAGAUGUAUGGAUGAAGAGAUGACUGAAAUAUUAUGGUUAAAGUUUUGAAAAGGUGGAACAUGAAUGAUCCACAAGAAUUACCAGGACUUGGCUUCAUUCGGACCGAUGAGAAUGUAAGUUUUGUUAUCAACUAAUCUUUAUAGUAAUAAGUCUUUGUUACGAUUUAUUUAUUGCUUCUUAUAAUUUUUAUAUUUGCUUUUCUUAUAAUGUACGAAUGCAGAAUUCAUACCAAAAUUCACAAUCAGAUGUUGAAGUAUUUCGAACGAGUUUGUCCGGAAGAUCAUUGGGUUAUGUUAUAUGGGUUUAAUCUCAAUCGAUUACUCACUAGACACGAUUACAUGAUUAAUCUGACCGACGACACAAGGGUUUCACGUGUAAUACCAUUAUCUAAUAGGGCAUUUGUCAAUUUCGUACAAUUUUCUCUGAUUACCAGUAAUCCUUACGCUCAUGAAUAUCCAAUCGGUGAGUAUAAUUAUAUAUUUUUUAUUGGUCUUAUUUCUUAAAAAAACAAUAGUAUUUUUGAUGUGUAUAUUUAUUCAGAUUUGAUUGGUUUACUUGACGUUGUAAGGGAUCUCAUACCAGUUGUGCAGACAGAUGGAAAAACUGUCUUGACACUCCGUUAUCAUCUUAAAGACAAUGAGUAAGCCCAUUAGUUUUUUUGGUUGUCGAUGGUUAUAAUAGUUUAGUGUUAUAAUAAUUGUAUUGUGUAAUUUGAAGGGCCAAUACAUUGGAGUGUAUCGCACAUAGCUCAUUAGAAACUGAGAUAAAAGAAAAAUGCAUAGGAUUCGAUGGUCCAUUUGACCUGUGCGUCUUAACUGAUUUACGAAAACUGGGGGUAUAUACUAAAAUUUGACACGAUUAUGAAAUAAUUUGAAUUUAUAUGUGCCACUAUGCGAACUGACGAUUUUUUUUAGAAGAACUAACUAUCCAAGAUCACGGAGCAGAAGGUCUUUCGCGUUUCAUGACUGCUCCUGCAAUGGAUGAAGUUUCUGAAUUUCGGGCAAAGUGAGUUAAUUACUAAGACAUGGAUCUUACUCCCUUGAUACGGAUUUUUAAUAGUACUACAUUGUUUACAUACUAUUCUUAAAUGUUAAUUUCAUGACUUGGGUGAAUAUAGGGAACAAAGUCCAUGGAAACAAUAUUUUGUUUAGAUAUGUAUUAGCUAUAACUUAUAUUUUCGUUAUUAUCUUUAUUAUUUUUUUUAUUUUUUGGUUGUUAGUUUUCCUAUGUUCUGUUAGACGAUAACAAUAAAUAUUCGGAAGUUAUUUAAAAUCUAUGAUUAUUCAUUGUUUGGUUAUUUAAAUUUUAAGAUUAUGUUUCGGAAAUAAUUGAUUUUAUAAUAACUAUGAAAUAUAAAUUAACCUUGAAAUUUUUUUGCUUAGUUGAACUUUCACUUUUCUGUAAAAUGAAACUCACGACAAUAAGUCAACAUCCUUAGAAUACAAUAUAUUAUAAAUGUUGACUAUGUAAGGUAAUUUUUCUUUUAAGGUAAAUUAGUCAUUCAAAAUAUAUAGACGGUGUUCAAAUAAACAAAUUUUAGUAGUAUUUUAAGAAUCUGUAACAAUGAAGUUUUGGAAUACUAACAUUAUUUUAAAUAGGAUAUUCUCUAUUUGUAUUUAAUCAAAGAUAAUAUUAUUUGUUUAUUCCAUUGAAUCUAAAAUGUUAAUAUUCUUAAAUAUUGGUUAUAGAUUAAUAUAAAAUCAUAUAUUUUUUCUUAUAAAUAUACUCUAACAAUCUCUUUCGAAAACGAUGAUCACGCAAUGACGAAUUAUAAUUUUGUUCGUGAACGUGACUCACAAAGAUCCGAUUGGAGAAUUGUAGUGAAAAUUCUGAAAAAAUGGGUGGUGGAUUACCCGGAUGGUAAUCGAAGCUUAAAUUUCAUCAUGGUCGAUGAAAGAGUAAAUGUCAAUUACGUAUUAUUAUCUUUAUGAUGUUUACUGUUGGUUAUGUAUCAUUGCUUGAGCAUAACUACUUUGUUUUUGAUGUUUUGUUGUUAUUGCAUAAACUUCUAGGGUUGUAGAGUACAAGCUGGGGUAAACAAUCAGAUGAUGGAUCAUUUCAAUCAGAGUUGCGAAGAAGAGCAAUGGGUUAUGUUGUCUGGUUUCCUUUUGAAUCCUUACAACUGAACUAAUAUCCAAAGUAUUAUGAAACAUGAUUAUGUUAUUACUCUAACGAAAGGAACAACGCUUUCACCAGCUCUACCAUUAACAAAUAAUUCAUUCUAUAAUUUCGUUUCUUUCCUCUCGAUUUAUGAAUUCCCAAGUGCUCAUUAUUAGCUAAUUGGUAAAAAUUAUUUUGGUAUCUUCGCAUAACGCAAAUUUUAUAGUCUGAACUCAUGUCUUUAUUUUUAUUAAUUACAAUCGCAGAUUUGAUUGGAGUGGUAUCUUCGCAUAACGCAAAUUUUAUAGUCUGAACUCAUGUCUUUAUUUUUAUUAAUUACAAUCGCAGAUUUGAUUGGAGUAGUCAAAGAUGCUAGAUACUUUACUAUUACAUACCCGGAUGGAAUGAAUUCAGCAUCAAUUUGAUUUCAAAUUAUAGACGACGAGUAAGUAGAUCUCAAACUAUAUAUUUGAAGUCUAAUUAACUAUUUCUUAACGAGGUUGUUUGUCAAACGUAGGGAAUUUAUGCUUGAGUGUGUUGCACAUGGUGAAUUGGCAACUGAAAUAAGAGAUAAAUGUAGAGAGUACGAGGGUCCCUUUGCUAUAUGUGUUUUAACCGAUUGGUGUGUAGUAAUUAACGAUCGUAUGUGUUCUAAUGAUACAAUAUUAUGGUAUUUAUACAAUCGUAUUAUAUAAUGUUACAAAAAUCUAAUAUAUAUAUUUUUAGAGGAUGUGUCUAUCAAAGAUCAUGAUGAUGAUGGUGUGUCCUGUUUCAUCAUUGAUUCACCAAUUGCUGAAGUUUUAAGCUUACGAAAUAAGUAAGUAUGUUUUUCAAUACUGUUUAAAUUGACUUAAAAAUUAUAUAUUUAAAUUUCAGGAUUUGGAAGAGGUUAAAUGGGUUGGAUAUAGAUGAUGUCCAAUGGAUUGGGCCGAGUAUACCGAUUCAAAUUUCAGAAUCCAAAUGCAUUAUUUUAUGUUAGAAAUACUGUUUGGAGUUUUUUCCUUAUUUACAAAUCUGUUUUGCAAUUAUUAACAAACAAUAAUUUACUCAAAAUUGGUUUUAAAUUACUGCCUAUAAAUAUAAUAUAUAUUAAUCUGGAUACUAAAUAAGUCUAAACAACCCAAUCGAAUUGUAUACGAAACAUACCAAUCCUAGAGCGUGUAGAUGGAAUAUUGAUUAUUUCAGUAAACGAUAUGAAUGAAUAUAGAUGAUCUUUGAGAACUGAUGAUGUUUCUUGGAUGUGAGUAUGUUCAUUGAAACACAAGUGAUAUUUGUUGAAGACCGCAGCUGAUGAUCGUAGAUCAUGUUUGACGCCAAAAUUACGAAUGAAAUACAAAUUUCAUUCGGAAAUUCGGUCACUUUACUGAUCCACUAAAUUACUGGGGAUUGUUGCUACCAUUCUAUCACCCUUUGACCAAAAUAUAUAAACUUAGAUAACCAUUUCGUAAAAAUAUAUGCUGUUGGAUUUAUAUACUUACAUGUUCAUCCGCCAAGAGAAGCAUUUUUUUAUGCACUGGAACCGAUGUCUUCGAUGAUAGUUUUGAGUUUAAAAAUUAUUUUCUCUGUUUAAUGAAAAUUUGUAUCGUUAUUUAAUAGAUGAUAACGAACAAGUGUAUCAUUAAGGCAUCAGUUAAUUCUACCUUUAAAAGUACCAAUAAUUGUAUAGUGACUUUUAAUAAUUAGGUUAACUAUUUAACGGUCAUAAAAAAUGUUAUUUAUAAGGAUGCUAGAUCAACAAAUAAUCGAAUAAAAAUAAAAGUCGAGAUGACGUUAUUCCAGUAAAUGAAAUUAUAGAAACGAUAUGUAUAUCUUUGGAAUAAUGUUCUAUAAAAAAAUUAACACAUAUCAAAUAAUUUUAAAAAAAAAUUGACACAUAUCACUAAGCUUAUAAAUAGAUUUGAUUUAUAUUCUUCAAAUAUAUAUGAUGCAUAUCCGUCAAGUAUUAGGAAUUAUAUUAUAAUUUUUUUUUCCAAAUAGAAACUUAUUGUAGUUGUUUUCAUUAAAGACUUAAUAUCAUUUAUUUUUCUAUUUUUAUUUUAGGUUUUGUAUUAUUUUUAAUGUGAUGUGGCAAACUGUCAACUAAAAGCAUAUCAAAAAUAAAUUUAUUUCAGCAAGUUAUAGCAAAUUUGUAAACAGUAUACUCUUUAACAAUUUUAGUUUCAAUUCCAAGUAUUAUGAUGAGGAUCCAAAACUUUAAUAAAAUAAUUAUAACCGGUUAAUCUAAUUAAAAACCUGAAUCGGUUUGAUAUAAACGGUUAAUUAUGUUGCACCCAAAUUAUAUACACCAUAUGGACCCAAUAUUUUUGUGUUAAAACAACUUUCUACUCUUCAUUUACUAACAUAUAAACCGCCAUAACCAAUAAAAUCCCUAGAAUUUUCAUCAUAGUUGCAACUUUUCAAAAAUGGAACAUUUAUAAAUUAUGAAAAGAUGUAAAAGGCAUUGGUUCACUGAACCUUCUCCAUAAAAUAUCUACAACCAUGCAACUGUUUACUCGACGUUAUAUAUAUCCUCAUUUCUAUACAUGCAAAUAUUCUUCAUCGAUAAAAACAAACAACAAAGCAAUAUUUCUCCGCAACCCUUUCUUCUCCUUUUUCAAAACACUUUCUCCAUGGCUUCAUAUAAAUUUGUUGAUGGAGAUGAGAUUGGAAAAUCUGUGUCAAAGUUUUGAAAAGAUGGAACAAACGUGAUCGACGAGGCUUACCAGGCAUGAGCUUCAUUUUAGUCGACGAAAAUGUAAGUAUUAUCUAAUAUAAACAUCUAAAUGUGUUAUUUAUAUUUAUUAUUUGCUUGAUCUCUCUUCAAAUUAUACUAUAUAUAGGGUUGGAGAAUCAAUGCUUCAUGUGGUAACCUAUCCCUUCCAUAUUUUAAUCGUGUUGGGCUUGAAGGACAGUGGCUUGAAUUUUCUAGAUUCAGCUUGAUACCAUCUGAAUGGAAGAACGAGGGAAGGACAACAAGGCACAAUUACCAGAUCAUUCUCCUACCGAGACUAAAGUCUCAUCUCUACGACCACUGACAGUGGAUCUCUUCAUGAACUUUGUCCCUUUUAGUGAGAUCUACAGAAUUCCUUAUGCUCAGUUAUAUCAUGUUGGUAAGAUUAUCUUUUAAUGUUCCUUUAAAUGUUUUCGUGUGAACUUCGAUUAUGAUAUUUAUCUAUGUAUAAUAACUAGGAUAUUUGUCGUGAUUGAUUUUUAGAUCUCAUUGGUGUGAUGGAAGAUGUUAGCGACAUCGUAACCGAGGACAAUCCUGAUGGAGAUACUGUUCAGAAAAUAACUUUCACCAUCAGAGAUAUCGAGUAAGCAAUAUUUUCUUUCAUGAUCACUAUGACUUGGUAACAAAGUUUGUAACUUUUAUUGUUUAAAUCGAAGGGAUGUGAAAUUGAAGUGUAUCGCACACGGGGAAUUUGCCGCUGACAUCAAAGAAAGAACCAAAGGAUUCACUGGUCCUUUUGCAGUUUGUUUUUUAACCGAUUAGAACGUAAAUAAAAAGGAAGGUAUGGGUCAUUAAGCAUAUGCCAUUAUAAUUUUCAUUACUUCCAUAAAUGUUUUAUUUUGCAUGUAUAGUUCUUACUAAUCGUUUUAUGUACGUAGAUGAAAUAACUAUCCUUGCGCAUGAAGCAAUUGGUUUUUUUUCCGUCUCCUCCUUGCUCCUUAUACUGAUGAUGUCCUGAUUUUCAGGAGAAAGUAAGUAAUCCGAUACUGAUAUUGAGAGUAUUUUAUAUAUUCAAUAACCUUUAAAUAUGUAUGUGCUUUUAAACUUUCAGGAUUUGGAACAAGUUGGGCAUGACGGAGACAUAAGUCGGAACAAGAACAAAAAAUGACCCCUGAACAAUAUCGUUUGAUUAUGAUGAAAUUUUAAUUUUUAUCUCUCUAAUUUCCAUGCAACAAGACUUAAUGGAGUGAUGUCCUCCUAAUAUCGUUGUAUAAGUUACAUUUUUUUCAUGCUAAGACUUUCUAUCUUAUGUUAUGGUGGAUCUUUUUAUUUUAUUUGGUAUUUCCUUUUAUUAUAUUUUCCAUUGCAAUUUGCUUUUUACUUUUUAAUUAUUAUUUAUUAUGUUUGCUUAUCGUUUAAUAUAGUGUUUCUUAUAUUACAUCAUAUAUAUCUACUAAAGUUAUAUAUCAUAAAUGUUGAACCUGGAAUCAUGAAAAACGUAACAAAAAUAAAAUAUAAAUACGUAAAUCACUUUAUAAAUGUAGACGAUUGUUAAAUAACGCUAAUAUAUGGACUAUAUAAAUCAAUUUAAAAUAAUAAAUAAUCUAACAAAUUUUCGUGAUUUAUGGAUAUAUAAUAUUCUAGACCCAACUAUUGAGAAUGGAAACUGUCACGAAUAUGUUAGGAAAACUCCCAAAAUCUGAGAAUAAAUGGUAAAAUAUGACCCAAAAAAUGAUUUUGAUAUCAUCAAACUAUAAAAAAAAUUUGUAUAAUAAUUAUGUCCGCGCGACACGGACAGUCACCCAAUUUCUUUUAAAAACCAAUUAAUUUGUUUAAACACGAUAUAUUCUCAAUUAAACAACAAUGUAAUCCAUCAUAUAUCAAUUCAAGUGGGCUUGGAUGUUGGGAAGAAGGUUUUUUUUUUUUAACUUUUUAUGUUUUACUUAUACUUGUUGUUGUCCUGCUUAUUUUAUAAAGACAUGUUUAUCUUUAUAUCUUCCAAUCUAAUGGUUCAACCAAUUUGACCAAAUCAUUGAUCCAAUAAUAUCAAAAAAUUUGGUUUUUCUAUUCGUUUUAAAAACACUAAUGAAUCAAAUAGCAAAUGAGAUUACCCUUUCUUUUAGAAAUUAGACGAACCAGACUAACCAGUAAACAGUAAAGAGAGAUUUAUGCUUACCAACAAAUUUCUGAAGUAUAAUCACACUUAUAGAAACUUCUGAGAUGUGGCACGCUUUUCCCUAAGGCAAAUCAAAUUUACCAUCGCAAACUCACAUACAACAGCUAUCGGUUUAUCCUCUCAUCCAACAGAUGAAAGAGAUGCUUCAAAGUAUACUUCUGAAAUGAUGACCAGUGAAGGGUUCUGACUCUACCAGAAAGACUCAAAUAGAUUUAACUUAAUCGAUUUAAUUUUACAUUGCAUAAAUUUGGAUUUGGCCAGAGAUUUUGAAUUUGGAUUUUAGAUUCAAUGGUUACAGACUUAUAGUCUUUAAAGUGGCUAGCUAUAUAAAAUGAAGGUCUUUUACAUGUAUUUAAUAUUUUUUGGUGAUACUGAGAGAUUGUGUUGAUCUGCAGGAAGUAAUGCAACAUUGAAAGACAGCUCAGAAGAUAGCUCUUCAGCCAUUGAGAAAAGCUAAGCCACAUAAACAGUUUUAACAAUAUGGAAAAUUACUUAAAAUUCUUGAAAGAAUUUUAUAAUAUAUCCACCAGAAUUUUAUCACAUUUCAGACUAGAAAUCCCAUAAAUCCUGUAAUGAAAAUCAUAAAAGGUGAUUAGCUGAGAAAGAAGUAUAAUUAAUUCUGAAAAAUAGUCUAUCUAAAUAAAACAUGAUAAGGUGGAGUUUUGAAUAUAUACCUGAGUUUGAGAAAAAAACAUAAUCAGAUUUAGAAAUUUACAUAACUGUUUUUUCUUUGUGAAUAAUUGGGAAUUUGCUAUUAAAUCUUAUAUCAAAAUCAAAAUACGGUAACAUGUAUUUUAAAAAUAUUAAUAAAUAUUGAAUAAUUAAAAAUUCAUAAAUAUUAUAAAAGAAACUAAAAAAUGUAAUAUAAUUGUGGACGAACCACCUAGAUGCUUUUAGGACAAAAUAAAUAUGUCCAUAAUAAUUAUAGUAAAGUGUAAGUUUGGAUCUAUAUUCAUUAAUUUGAAUUUAUAAUAAAAUAUUAAAAUUAUACUCUAUUAUAUAUUUCUAAUCUUUUGCAAGAAAAAAUAAAUAAUAAACAGAAUCACAAAAAUUUCUCAAACUUAUACCAUUUAAAAUAUCUGAAUCAAUUUGAAAAAAAGAUUAAAACGACAUAAAAUAGUUUACGUGAUUAUUGUUAAAUGCCAAAAAUGGCAACUAUCUGAAAACCUAACAUUUACAAGAUGUAGCUAAUCAACACCUAAACAUUACAAUUAACUUUUCUUUAACAAAAAUUUCAUGCACGAACAUAUGUGCAUAUCAACCACUUAAAAUUAUUAGUAUACGAUAAACAUCCUUUACAUAAUGAUCAACCCAUAUAGAUGCUAAAUAUAUUAAAAUUUUGGUAACACCAAUUAUGUCUGCACAAACGGACGAGCCAAUAUCCUAGUUAUGUAUUCAUAAUUGUGAUCAUAUUUAUUACUAGAAACAAAAUAUAAAUAUCAAAUUAAAUCGAAACAAAAAAUAAUUUAUUUUCACUUAUUAUAAAAAGUAAGUCUAUAAAAAACAGAAAUUACAUUACAAAAUUUGAUUAAAAAUUAUUUCCAUGUAGAUGCACAGGAUAAAAUCUAGUAUAUCCUCUAUAUAUUAAACAUGAAGGAAUUUGAUGCGACAUUUGCUGAGGUGUUGCUCUCUAAUUAUUUCUUGGCUAAUUUUUUAUUUACUUAAUUCACCUUUUCCUCUCCUACUAUCUCUGUAUUCAAAUGCUAUUUUGCUGAGGUGUCAUCGCCACAAAAAUCUACAGCAUUUCUGAUUUAUUUAAUUCAUUUAUUAUGUAUCUUCUACUAUCUCUACAGCCAAAUAACUUAUAUCUUCAACAUUUCUAUUUUAUUUAAUUCAUUUAUUUCCAUGCACUUUUCUAUACAACAUACAUAAUUAUUUCGAGGAAAAAAUAAUAUAUAACACUUUAUAUAUUAAAAAAUAUUUUUUAUGUAAUAUUGUAAUACUGAAUGAUGUUCUAAUUUUUUGUUUUCAAACAAUGUUACAAAUAUAUAUCCAUGCAUUUUCAAUAUUCUAACCAUUGAAAAACUAUAACUUUUCUAUAUUUAUAAAAGAAAACACUGUAUAUAUUCGACCAAACAAUUAUUUUUAAUUUCAUAGUUAAAGAAAUAGUUGUAAAUUUUUUGAAAUUUAAAUUUCACGGUUAUGUAAUCUUUUAAAUCGCUUUACAUGAUUUUAUUUGGAAAUAAAUAUUUAAGAAAUUUAUAAAAUAUUGUUCUAUUACCAAAAAAAUAAAGGACACUGAUAACAAAUUAUAGUAAUCUAGAUAUGCAUUCCAAAAAAUUCUGGAAAUAAGAACAAAUAAUUUGAUUUUUUAAAAAAUUUAAACUUUGCGGUUGUUUAAUCUCUCAUUUACGUGUAUAGUUUGUUUUUAAGCAAGGAAUCUUAAAUAAAUUAUAUAAAUUAGGACAGUUACCUUUAGAGGACUUCGAAAACAAACUAUACUAAUCUUGCCAUGCAUUCCCAAAAAAAAUAGUAUUCCCGUGUAAUCUAUCAUUUUAAAAUCUUCAAAAGAAUGGACUAUUAAAUCCUAAAACUUUCGGUGCAAGCUCAUUAUAUACGUAUCUAAUACAAAGAAUACUAACCUAAAAUAACAUAGUCUAUAUAACAAAUGACACUAAUCUACAGCUAUAGUAUAUUCUUUUUAUAUUACCUUCCAUUUUAUAAUUUUUGCGGUGUUCCACUACUCAAAUUAUAUUCAAAUAUUAGGUUUGCCUCCAUCAAAGAUCACAUAAAGAAUUCACCUAACGAUACGCAUUGAUUCCUUCUCAUACCUGUAGAUACAUUUUUGUCAUUCACUCACAUCGCCAAAUAAAAAGUUAUUCCUAUACCUACAGAUUUUUCUUAUCGCAAAUACGAAACCUUUCAAAACUCAAUGGAGAGUGCGUGUUAAGAUUCUAAAGCUGUGAAGGCAGUUUUUGAAUGGUGUUGAAACUCUCGAAUUGGUCGUCGUAUACCUAUCAAAAAGUCUGUUCAAUCAUGAAUGUCACUGAAAUUAACAAAUUUCAAACCUAAGACAGUUGGAUCCAAUUCUUCGGAUGGUUUCAUUGAUGUAGAAAAAGCAAACUAGAUCUUGUAAACAUGAGAUGUCCGGAAUUUCCCACCAUUAUGUGUGACUUGAAAGUUGGUAAAGAUUUUGGUCAUCCCUUCUUCCAACAAAUUCUCAUAUUUCUUAAUGAACUCCUUCUUCACAAACAUAUGCAUUUUUUGAUUCUGUAAAUAAAGACAAUAAAAAUAUAGCAUAAGAUGUCGAGGAUAUUGCACUAUUUAUCAGACUUAAAAAAUUCUUUUAUAAACGUAUUAACUCAGAGUACCUUCUCAUCUAAGACGACCAUUUCCAGAGUUUCAACACCAUUCAAAAACUGCUUCCACAGCUCUAGAAUCUUAACAAGCAUUCUCUAUUGAGUUUUGAAAGGUUUCAAUGCACUGAGAUUGGUAAAAGGGGCCAUUAUUUUAUUAUUUGCGAUAAGAAGAAUCUGUAGGUAUAGGAAAGAAUUUUAUAUUGGCAUUGUGAGUGAAUUGCGAGAAAUAUAUAAAUAGGGAUGAGAAGGUAUCUAUGCGUAUCGUUAGGUUAAAUCUUUGUGUGAUCUUUGAUGGAGGCAAAACUAAUAGUUGAGUUUGAAUAGUGUAACACCGCGAAAGUUUUAAAAUGGAAAGUAAUCUAAUAUAUAAAACAUGAAGGGCAUUCUCCAGAGAUUGACAACUCAACAUUUAAAAGCCAAUAAGAAAUUAACGUUUAUUCCUCUUAUUAAUACAUAUAUAUAAAUGAAUCAACCAUUUAUUCUAAUUUUUAUUACGUUAAAAAUAUAAACUUAUAAAAUAAUAAAAAUUAAACUCAAAUUUAAUUUAAUUAUCCUAUAUCUAUAAAUAAAAAAACUAAUAUUAGAUUUUAAUUUGGUCUUUUUUUCACUGUGUGAUAUAUUCAUCAUUUUUGAAAUUACAAAGAUCAUUUAUUCGCAAAGCAAUUAGAAAAUAAAAACAAGUAAUAAAAUUAAAAAUUUCUAAAAACUGAUGAACAAAUUUUUUUAAAAAAAAAUAUAAGAGCUAGAAAAUCAAAACACACAAAAAAAUCAUUAAAUAAUCAAUACGAUAAAGAGAAAAAAUGACAAAAAAGAAUAUGAUAACAAAUAAGUAUAAAAUUUAUAGAGUCAUGGGAACAUAGGUCGAACCAAUUGAAAAAAUGUGAAAAAAAAGCAUGAAAAUAGUAAAUUGCAAAAAGUAAAAAUGAUUACUAUAUGGAGAUUUCAAUGGAAAAAAAAAGUAAAAAACAAUGGAUUGAAAAGAUUACCAGCUAGGAUCAUCAAGGAAAAACAUAUAUAAAAUAAAUCACAAAAAAAAAAAUCAAAAGUUGAACUAAAAUAUUAAAAACAUAACUUAAAAUCUGUCCCAACUAUUAGUUCCUAUAUAAACUAUUUAAUUUAAAUUUAACUGUGUUACAAACAUUAAAUCAUAAAGCAUAAUUUAAAUCAAAUUUAAAUCUAAUUUAAAACAUCAUAAGUAUAAGUUAAAUCAAAAUUAAAUUUAGAUUAAAGCAUCAUAACAUAUGAAUAAAAAAUAAUUGAGAUUUUAAGUGUGAGUUAAUCUUUAUUUUUGAACUAAUAAAGAUCAUUUAAUUUCAAUGCAAAAGAAGAAAAUAAAUAUGAGACAAAAUUAAAGAUAAUAGUCUAAACAAGUUUUCAAUAUCUAAAGAAUCAAAAAAAGGAAGAAAACUAUAGUAACAAAAGUAACAUUUAAUAAACAAUUGAAAAGAUAAAAAAUUAUAAAAAUAUUGAAAAAAUGACAAAGCAAAAAGGAAAUAAUAUAACAACAAGUAAAUAUACAAAAUAUUAAAGAUGUAAGUAAAAAAAGAUGGAAUUAGUGAUAAAUAUAUAUAUAUAUAUAUAUAUAUGUGUGUAUGUGUGACAAAAACAUAAAAUUCGUAGUUUGAGAAAGUUAAUAAAUUAACACUAAAUCAUGAUUUGGAUGAAAAAAACUCGAAAAACAAUGGAUGAAUGAGAUUAUUAAGAUUAUAAAAAAAAUAUAAAAUAAUAUAAAAAAUUAAAAAUCGAUAGUUUAUAAUCAUGGCGUAGUGCAGGUUUUCUUCUAGUAUAAAAUAAAUAUACUAUAGAUGUAGAUUAGUGUACUUUGUUAUUUAGAAGACGUCAUUUUAGGUUAGUAUUCUUUGUAUUAUAUACGUAUAUAAUGAGCCUGCAUCAAAAGUUUUGGGAUUUAAGAAACCAUCUCUUCAUAUAUUAUAGGAAUUUAUAAGAAUUUAAAAUCAUAUAAUACACGGGAAUAUUUUUUUUUUUGGAUGCAUGGUAAGAUUAGUAUAGUUUGUUUUCAACGUCCUCUAGAAUUAAGGUAACUGUCCCUAUUGAAUUAAUUUAUUUAAUUGAUUUCUUAAAAAAAAAUUAUAUCAAUAAAUGAAGGAUUACACACCCGCGAAUUUGAAAUUUUUAAAAAUUCAAAUUAUUUGUCUUUGUAUAAUUGAUUUUUGGAAUGCAUAUCUAGUUAGUAUAGUUUCUUAUCAACGUCUUCUAUUUUCUGUAAGAGACCAAUGGUUUUUAAUUUUUUUUUUAAUAUUUCAUUCUAAAUAAAAUCAUGUAAAGUGAAUGUAUGGAUUACACAACCGUGAAAUAAAAAUUUCAAAAAUUUCGAAAAUGUAGUCAAUUAUUAAGAAAUUAGAAAAUAGUUAUUUGGUCGAAGAUAUACAAUGUUUUAUUUUAGAGUUAUGUAUGAAAUUUCUAGUUUUUUCAUUGGAUAUGGAAUUAUAAAUGCAUUCAUAAUUAGUUGGAACAUCGUAUAAGUAUAUUAUUAGAUCCUACAAUAUUAAAAUAUUAUUUACAGAUCAUCUCUUAUAUAUAAAGUGUUAUAUUGAGGAUGAUAUUUUUGCGAAAUAAUUAUGUGUGUUAGAUAUAUAAAAGUUGAUGAAAAUAAAUGAAUUAAAUAAAUCCAAAAUGAUGUAGAUAAAAUGUUUGGCUGUAGAGAUAGUAGGAAUUAAAUAAAUAAAUUAAAUAAUCAGAAAUGUUGUAGAUUUUGUGGCGAUGACACCUCAGCAAAAUAAUGUUUAGAUAUAAAGAUAAUAGGAGAUAGAAAAAAUGAAUUUGUUAAAUAAAAAAUUAGCCAAGAAGUAAGGAAAGAACGACACCUCAGCAAAUAUCGCCUCAAAUUCCUUCUUGUUUAAUAUAUAGAGGAUUAUUAACAAAAAAAAUUAUUUUAUAAAAAGAGAAAAUAAAAAUAGCUCCAAGAAAGUAAAAAUUAACAAAAAUAGCUCCUCAUUUUGGAAAGGACCAAACUAGCAUUCAUUUAAAUUGAAAGGAGUUAAAAUACAAAAAAAAAAAACAAAUUAACCCAUUAUUCUGGGUUUUGAAUUGAAUGAUGUUAUCGGCAAAUAGAGAUGUGGGAUUUCAGCUCAUCCAUCAUUGACGACUUCUCAUCCAUCAUUAUCUCUGGCAAUUGAAUUUCUUAGAGAUUAUCUUGAUCUAUAGUUUUUAUUUUGUUGAAAAUUGCCUAGAAUAGAUAAUUUUUAAGAUUCAAGCACCUUAUCGACAAUCCAUUAGCUUUGAGAGUCAUCGAUCAGAGUCAUCGACAAUCCAUCUAUCGUCAGGUCUCACGAUCGCAGGUUUCUUCUUUAACUGCUAUAUUUUUCGAUUUGAUUUAUUUUCUCGCAAAUCUAGCUUUGAGUAUGUAUUUUGCAGCUUGUUCUUGUUUCAGGGCAAUUCAUGAUUGUCUUCCUAAUUAUGUACUAACGCUUUCUUAAAUUUCAGAAAACUCUUGUGUUUUUUUUUUUCUUCUGAAAUCAAGUUUUUAAUCAUGC